RNAcentral lists this long non-coding RNA (787 nucleotides) under Lupinus angustifolius (narrow-leaved blue lupine). RNAcentral describes it as "long non-coding RNA (LANG_LNC002088)". Lineage: Eukaryota; Viridiplantae; Streptophyta; Magnoliopsida; Fabales; Fabaceae. The record is from RNAcentral.
GGAAAGUUUUGAUUGAGAGAUUGACACAUGUCAUGAGAGACCUUUAGUUUUGAUGAGAGGUUGACACAUGUCAUGAGGGCUUGAGAGGUUGACACAUGUCAUGAGGGAGCUUUUUUGUUAUAUAGAUAAUAGAUUAAUCCUCAUUCAUUUCUUCCUAAAAAUAGUUUCAAUUAAAAAUGGCAAGAGUCACAAAAGUUCUCUACCUUGAGGAUAAUAAGGGAGACCGACGUUCAUAUGACAUAUAUAAAAACCUACCCUAACUCCUUUGAGAAGGACAACAUGUUAGAUAUUAUUGGCAGAAUACACCUAGACUCAAUAUCUAUGGCAAGCAUCCUAGACUUCUAGAAAGAUAAUAAAUAAUUAUAACCUAAGUCUAAUAAGUCACCACUUGAGCCAUCGACAUGUUGAUUGUUGAGUCAUCUUCAAGCUUUAACUAAUUUCUUGUCUUCAUCAAAACAUAGGCAAAAUAUUGCUAAUGCAAUCUUUGACGCUUUGCUCUUUCAAACUCUCCCUUUUUAUGAUGACAAACACCACAUUUGAUGACAUUUGAUGACUUAGCUUGAUGAUGUUGUAUAUUUGCAUAAUUGAAGCGCUUUGCUCUCCCCCUUAGGUAGGCAAUGAUUAAUAAACCUGCAAAUAACAUCAAACACAACAAGCAACCUUUCUCCCUUUUUUGACAUUAUCAAAAAAAUACGAAUAUUUAAUUCUAGUCAAAAGUAAGAAGAGAUAUAGCAAUUUAAUUUUGAAAAAACUGUAAUUAUUAGCAUAGAGAAUAAGCAGUUUGAGA